CACCAAUCAAGCCUGGCUUGGUAUUGGGCCACGGGGGCGACCCGGGCCUCAAAGUUCGCCGGCUGGAAAGCUCUGAUCUCAGCGUCGUGAUCAUCAAUUCGCUACGGAAAGGAGCGGUCUGCGCCGUGAAAUCUAUCACAGG
This 142-nucleotide unclassified non-coding RNA is filed under the name uncultured Capnodiales. RNAcentral's name for it is "sequence contains ITS2". Lineage: Eukaryota; Fungi; Ascomycota; Dothideomycetes; Capnodiales. The record is from RNAcentral.